RNAcentral lists this ribosomal RNA (352 nucleotides) under Eretes griseus. RNAcentral's name for it is "partial 12S ribosomal RNA". Lineage: Eukaryota; Metazoa; Arthropoda; Insecta; Coleoptera; Dytiscidae. The record is from RNAcentral.
UUUAAAUGUAAAAAAAUAUACUAAAGUAGUAAUAGUUAUGUUCUUUAAAUUUAAAGAAUUUGGCGGUAUUUUAGUCUUUUCAGAGGAACCUGUUCUGUAAUUGAUAGUCCACGAUUAACUUUACUUGAUUUAAUAAUUUGUAUAUCGUCGUUUAUAAAUGAUUUUAUAAGAAUAUAAAUUUUUAAGAUUUUAAAUUAAAAAAUAUAUCAGAUCAAGGUGCAGUUUAUAAUUAAGAAGAAAUGGGUUACAAUAAAUUUAUUUAUACGGAUAAAUAGAUUAAAUUUUAUUUUGAAGGAGGAUUUGAUAGUAAUAAAAUUUAUUUAAAUUUUAUGAUUUUAGCUCUAAAAUAUGU